Molecule: long non-coding RNA, 639 nt
Organism: Populus euphratica (Euphrates poplar)
Lineage: Eukaryota; Viridiplantae; Streptophyta; Magnoliopsida; Malpighiales; Salicaceae
Exons: 3
Source: RefSeq, a predicted model, not a curated record
UCAUAAUUACUCAGUGUUUUAAAACCCGGACCGGCCCGGCAGGUCGACCCGGGACCCGGCUGACCUGGGCCUGGGACCGGUCCGGGUGGAGGCAAAAACCCGCUCGGGAGUUGGCCUGGUGAAACCCGGCCGACCCGGAGGGUCUACCCGGGACCUGGUCCACCCGGUCAAACCCGGCUGAGAUCGGUCUAUUUUUUUUUUAUACUGAUAGAUGUUAAACGACGAAGAACAAUGAAGCAGAAUUGGGCAUAUUGAUCACAGAGCAAACCUAAUUAACAAAAAGAUCAAUUUCAAUUGAUGAGGAGUUGAGCAGAGCAGAAGACGUCUUGAUCAUUGUUGUUUCACUAUGAGAAAGUUCUGGCAUCAUUUGGUUGUUCGUUGAAUCAGUCGUUUUGAUUCAUUCGCAGCCCAGUCAUCUUAACCUCAAGUAUGUUUCUCUUUUCUUUUCUUUUCUGCAGUAUAAUAAAUCUUCUGCUAUUAGGAAGUGUCGAAAAUGAAUGAGGAAACUAGUUUUGUUCGAUGCAUUUGCUUCUAGAACUGUUAUAGCCAGAGAUUGAAACUAUUUUGUUCUAAGAAUUGUUAUAGCCAGAGAUUGAAGCUGUUGUAAGAAUUAUUGAUUAUGGUUAAAAUAUUUCAUCU